UACUGGUCCCUUCGCAACGCUAUGUCGUGAACCCUGUCAGGUCCGGAAGGAAGCAGCAGCAGCAACAAAUGCGUGUGCCGGAGUGUGGCUGGUAUGC
RNAcentral lists this signal recognition particle RNA (97 nucleotides) under Beggiatoa sp. IS2. Its description in RNAcentral is "signal recognition particle sRNA small type". It matches the Rfam family "Bacterial small signal recognition particle RNA". From Rfam's summary of the family: The signal recognition particle (SRP) is a universally conserved ribonucleoprotein involved in the co-translational targeting of proteins to membranes. Archaeal SRP consists of a 7S RNA and homologues of the eukaryotic SRP19 and SRP54 proteins. Lineage: Bacteria; Pseudomonadati; Pseudomonadota; Gammaproteobacteria; Thiotrichales; Thiotrichaceae. The record is from RNAcentral.